This 492-nucleotide ribosomal RNA is filed under the name uncultured bacterium. Its description in RNAcentral is "partial 16S ribosomal RNA". It matches the Rfam family "Bacterial small subunit ribosomal RNA", at positions 29 to 507 of the family's 1533-position model. The record is from RNAcentral.
AGUGAACGCUGGCGGUAGGCCUAACACAUGCAAGUCGAACGGCAGCACAGUAAGAUCUUGCUCUUACCGUUGGCGAGGGGCGGACGGGUGAGGAAUACAUCGGAAUCUACUUUUUCUUGGGUGACAACGGAGGGAAACUGACGCUAAUACCGCAUACGACCUACCGGUGAAAGCAGUGGAUCUUCGGACCUUGCGCGACUGAAUGAGCCGAUGUCGGAUUAGCUAGUUGGCUGGGUAAAGGCCCACCAAGGCAACGAUCCGUAGCUGGUCUGAGAGGAUGAUCGGCCACACUGGAACUGAGACACGGUCCAGACUCCUACGGGAGGCAGCAGUGGGGAAUAUUCGGCAAUAGGCGAAAGCCUGAUCCAGCAAUACCGCGUGGGUGAAGAAGGCCUUCGGGUUGUAAAGCCCUUUUGUUAGGAAAGAAAAGCAGCAGGUUAAUCCACCGCUGUUCUGACGGUACCCAAAGAAUAAGCACCGGCUAACUUCGUG